CUUGGUCAUUUAGAGGAAGUAAAAGUCGUAACAAGGUCUCCGUUGGUGAACCAGCGGAGGGAUCAUUACCGAGUUUACAACUCCCAAACCCAAUGUGAACGUUACCAAACUGUUGCCUCGGCGGGAUCUCUGCCCCGGGUGCGUCGCAGCCCCGGACCAAGGCGCCCGCCGGAGGACCAACCAAAACUCUUUUGUAUACCCCCUCGCGGGUUUUUAUAUCUGAGCCAUCUCGGCGCCUCUCGUAGGCGUUUCGAAAAUGAAUCAAAACUUUCAACAACGGAUCUCUUGGUUCUGGCAUCGAUGAAGAACGCAGCGAAAUGCGAUAAGUAAUGUGAAUUGCAGAAUUCAGUGAAUCAUCGAAUCUUUGAACGCACAUUGCGCCCCUUGGUAUUCCGAGGGGCAUGCCUGUUCGAGCGUCAUCUGAACCCUCAAGCCCCCCGGUGUUGCCCUGCCUCUGGCUCGGGCUCCACCUGGCUUGGUGUUGGGCGUCUGUCCCCACUGGCGUGGACUCGCUCCAAAUGCAUUGGCAGCGGCCUCCCGGCUCCUCGCGCAGCACACCGCGCAGAGGGACCCGGGUCGGCGCGCGUCCAGCAAGCAUCUCCCAAGUUUGACCUCGGAUCAGGUAGGGAUACCCGCUGAACUUAAGCAUAUCAAUAAGCGGAGGA
Molecule: ribosomal RNA, 665 nt
Filed under: uncultured Trichoderma
Lineage: Eukaryota; Fungi; Ascomycota; Sordariomycetes; Hypocreales; Hypocreaceae
Description: eukaryotic LSU rRNA
Rfam family: 5.8S ribosomal RNA (bases 266-419)
Source: RNAcentral